RNAcentral lists this long non-coding RNA (693 nucleotides) under Trifolium pratense (red clover). RNAcentral's name for it is "long non-coding RNA (TPRA_LNC012891)". The record is from RNAcentral. Lineage: Eukaryota; Viridiplantae; Streptophyta; Magnoliopsida; Fabales; Fabaceae.
UGAGCCAAAUGAGCCAAAAACCUAUUUUAAUUCUAGUAUUACUAGCAGUUCCAGUCAUCAUUUCAAAGAGAGAACAUAAAUUCGGAGGUAACACUAACAUCAAGCCAAUCCAACGAAACAUUAUAACCAAAUUUUUUAAGCAAAGUCACAGUGCAGGCGUACUUCAUAUCCUAUAAUUAUUCAUAAAAAGAAAAUUAUUCAUGUAUACUCACAGGUAUCCUCUUCAGGCUAAUCUUGGUGGAUUUGGUUUGAAGGAUUUGCUGUGCAAGUUGGUUUUUCAUUAGAUGGUCUUUUCUUGUAGGCUUGAAAGGACCAUGUUCAGCAAAAGCUCCUUGUCCAACUGAAGAACAGCAAGGACCUUCAAAAUUUCAAAAAAAGUAAAUAAUAAAUGCAUCAGAGUAAAUUCAGAGUUCAGAAUAAAAUAUACCAAUGUGGGGUGAAGCAUAAGCAGAGAAACUAGCAAUGUUACUGCAAAGUAGAGGUUCUGGUUUCGGUGUGGAUUUAUGAUUUCUUUACUAAUUAAUGAGGAAAUUAAGUUCUGAUAUAUACAUCCAGAAGUGCUCAUAAAAUUAAAGUGAAGUGAAAGUAAAAUGAUGUAAAAACUUAUAUGUUUUAUAAAACCAGAAAGCUAAAGAAAUAUCCAAAGAAUGAUGAGAACUAACCAGUGAUGAAGCAAUUCUAACUACAAAAAGC